AAACUUGCCUCAAGAUGAGAUCUCACUGGGAACUUGAUUCCCCUGAAGGGCCGUCGAAGACUACGACGUUGAUAGGCUGGGUGUGUAAGCGUUGUGAGGCGUUGAGCUAACCAGUACUAAUUGCCCGUGAGGCUUGACCAUAUAACACCCAAACA
This 155-nucleotide ribosomal RNA is filed under the name Pseudomonas aeruginosa. Its description in RNAcentral is "partial 23S ribosomal RNA". It matches the Rfam family "Bacterial large subunit ribosomal RNA", at positions 2790 to 2925 of the family's 2925-position model. The record is from RNAcentral. Lineage: Bacteria; Pseudomonadati; Pseudomonadota; Gammaproteobacteria; Pseudomonadales; Pseudomonadaceae.